This 369-nucleotide transfer-messenger RNA is filed under the name Candidatus Nanopelagicales. Its description in RNAcentral is "M55B157 sp018609125 Standard tmRNA". It matches the Rfam family "transfer-messenger RNA". From Rfam's summary of the family: Bacterial tmRNA, also known as 10Sa RNA or SsrA, is named for its dual tRNA and mRNA-like properties. Its role is to liberate the mRNA from a stalled ribosome. Lineage: Bacteria; Bacillati; Actinomycetota; Actinomycetes. RNAcentral also lists the same sequence under 1 other name. The record is from RNAcentral.
GGGGGUGACAGGUUUCGACGAUCAGGUUUCUGGCGUCGGAGAAGCGUGCCGAGAACGUCGGGUUAUCUCGUAAACGACCCCGGCAAACCAAUAACUGCCGAAAAGAAGCAGUCCGCUUUCGCACUCGCCGCAUAAGGCGAGUUGCGAAGCCGUCAGCCCGGGGAGUCCCUGACCCGGAUCCUGGCGUCAAUUAAGGGACUUACCAACCACUCCGGUCGCGGGAGUGCGCGGAACAUCUAACAGUGACUAGGCCGCCACCGCGAUGUGCCGUACAAAACGCGGGGGCCGAUAAGCGAUAGCACGGCUACGCACGUAGAAGACCGAGUUAGGUCUGAGCGGACCCGGGUUCGAUUCCCGGCACCUCCACAA